This 598-nucleotide ribosomal RNA is filed under the name Bacillus sp. CH92_3T. RNAcentral describes it as "bacterial SSU rRNA". It matches the Rfam family "Bacterial small subunit ribosomal RNA", at positions 50 to 632 of the family's 1533-position model. The record is from RNAcentral. Lineage: Bacteria; Bacillati; Bacillota; Bacilli; Caryophanales; Bacillaceae.
UAUACAUGCAGUCGAGCGGACAGAAGGGAGCUUGCUCCCGGAUGUUAGCGGCGGACGCGUGAGUAACACGUGGGUAACCUGCCUGUAAGACUGGGAUAACUCCGGGAAACCGGAGCUAAUACCGGAUAGUUCCUUGAACCGCAUGGUUCAAGGAUGAAAGACGGUUUCGGCUGUCACUUACAGAUGGACCCGCGGCGCAUUAGCUAGUUGGUGGGGUAAUGGCUCACCAAGGCGACGAUGCGUAGCCGACCUGAGAGGGUGAUCGGCCACACUGGGACUGAGACACGGCCCAGACUCCUACGGGAGGCAGCAGUAGGGAAUCUUCCGCAAUGGACGAAAGUCUGACGGAGCAACGCCGCGUGAGUGAUGAAGGUUUUCGGAUCGUAAAGCUCUGUUGUUAGGGAAGAACAAGUGCGAGAGUAACUGCUCGCACCUUGACGGUACCUAACCAGAAAGCCACGGCUAACUACGUGCCAGCAGCCGCGGUAAUACGUAGGUGGCAAGCGUUGUCCGGAAUUAUUGGGCGUAAAGGGCUCGCAGGCGGUUUCUUAAGUCUGAUGUGAAAGCCCCCGGCUCAACCGGGGAGGGUCAUUGGAAA